Molecule: ribosomal RNA, 253 nt
Filed under: uncultured bacterium
Lineage: Bacteria
Description: partial 16S ribosomal RNA
Rfam family: Bacterial small subunit ribosomal RNA
Source: RNAcentral
UACGGAGGGGGCGAGCGUUAUUCGGAAUUAUUGGGCGUAAAGGGCGCGUAGGCGGCCCGGUAAGUCAAAGGUGAAAUCCCUCGGCUCAACUGAGGAACUGCCUUUGAAACUGCUGGGCUUGAGUCCGGGAGGGGGUAGCGGAAUUCCCAGUGUAGCGGUGAAAUGCGUAGAUAUUGGGAGGAACACCGGUGGCGAAGGCGGCUACCUGGACCGGCACUGACGCUGAGGCGCGAAAGCGUGGGGAGCAAACAGG